GUUCCGGUUUCAGGAUGUCCAUCUCCAUACACGACCUGACGAUUUCCGAUGUCGUGUAGUACCGUUUGUAUACCUUGUACGGUCUGGUUCAACAUGUCCAAGUUGCUCUUAGCCAGCACGUACAGUGACAACAACUCGGAAAACGAUGCCCCGAAAAAGUUGUCCAACGCGAACUGCUUACCCCUCUAGAGCCACACUGGAUUCAUCCAGUCGAGCAUAUUCCGGAGCAGCACGUCGAAAUUGCUGGGUAUAUAUUAUCCUUGAUCCUACCAAGCAGAUAAACCAACAUCAAGAAGUUCUCCUUUUCGGCUGCCGCAGAGCUCGUAAACGUCUCAUAAAUUUUGUCAAUGCUACUGAUUUGCUCCUUGCUUUCUAUGAUGAGUUGCAAUAAAAGAGCGAAUUAGAGAGAUAUUAAAA
Cinara cedri is the source of this 417-nucleotide non-coding RNA. Lineage: Eukaryota; Metazoa; Arthropoda; Insecta; Hemiptera; Aphididae. The record is from the annotation of a GenBank genome assembly.